Molecule: non-coding RNA, 368 nt
Organism: Misgurnus anguillicaudatus (oriental weatherfish)
Lineage: Eukaryota; Metazoa; Chordata; Actinopteri; Cypriniformes; Cobitidae
Source: RefSeq, a predicted model, not a curated record
UAAAUUGACACAAAAAUGAUUGAUGACAAUAAUGAUUUUUUUUGUCUUAAUUGUGCAGCCCUUUCACCCUUCCACCUUUAGUAUAUAGAAAUAAUUGUAUUGAAUUAUUUGUCUUUUAACCAAAUUUUCUAGCAGGUGUUACAACAAACCCUCAGUUUGUUACACCCUGCUGGAAAAAACAGCUAAUACCAGCUUAAGCUGGUUUAAGCUGGUCCAAGCUGGUCAUUAGCUGGUCCAAGCUGGUUUUUCCAGCAGGGCAAUUAACCAAACCUAUGGGGUAAGUCGUAACGUUUGCACUCCUGUCACUUUCGGUGUAAUUGUACGAUAACGAUGCUCGACUGGAUUGAGAUCUGGAGAAUUUGGAGGCC